UUAUGAAUUAAAUUAAUUAUACAAUGAAAAUGUAGUGUUUUUUUUAAACUACAUUAGUAGAAAU
This 64-nucleotide transfer RNA is filed under the name Lyroneces dohertyi. RNAcentral's name for it is "tRNA-Glu". Lineage: Eukaryota; Metazoa; Arthropoda; Insecta; Coleoptera; Lycidae. The record is from RNAcentral.